AAAGGAAUUGACGGGGGCCCGCACAAGCGGAGGAACAUGUGGUUUAAUUCGAUGAUACGCGAGGAACCUUACCCGGGCUUGAAAUGCAGAAGACCGAAGCGGAAACGCUUCUUCCAGCAAUGGCUUCUGUGUAGGUGCUGCAUGGUUGUCGUCAGCUCGUGCCGUGAGGUGUCGGCUUAAGUGCCAUAACGAGCGCAACCCUUGUCGGUAGUUGCUAUCAGGUAAUGCUGGGGACUCUACCGAGACUGCCAUCGUAAGAUGCGAGGAAGGUGGGGAUGACGUCAAAUCAGCACGGCCCUUACGUCCGGGGCGACACACGUGUUACAAUGGGUGGUACAACGGGCAGCUACCUGGCGACAGGAUGCUAAUCUCUUAAAUCCACUCUCAGUUCGGAUCGAAGUCUGCAACCCGACUUCGUGAAGCUGGAUUCGCUAGUAAUCGCGCAUCAGCCACGGCGCGGUGAAUACGUUCCCGGGCCUUGUACACACCGCCCGU
Molecule: ribosomal RNA, 495 nt
Filed under: uncultured bacterium
Lineage: Bacteria
Description: bacterial SSU rRNA
Rfam family: Bacterial small subunit ribosomal RNA
Source: RNAcentral